This 417-nucleotide ribosomal RNA is filed under the name Salmonella enterica. RNAcentral describes it as "bacterial SSU rRNA". It matches the Rfam family "Bacterial small subunit ribosomal RNA", at positions 1 to 414 of the family's 1533-position model. RNAcentral also lists the same sequence under 1 other name. Lineage: Bacteria; Pseudomonadati; Pseudomonadota; Gammaproteobacteria; Enterobacterales; Enterobacteriaceae. The record is from RNAcentral.
AAAUUGAAGAGUUUGAUCAUGGCUCAGAUUGAACGCUGGCGGCAGGCCUAACACAUGCAAGUCGAACGGUAACAGGAAGCAGCUUGCUGCUUCGCUGACGAGUGGCGGACGGGUGAGUAAUGUCUGGGAAACUGCCUGAUGGAGGGGGAUAACUACUGGAAACGGUGGCUAAUACCGCAUAACGUCGCAAGACCAAAGAGGGGGACCUUCGGGCCUCUUGCCAUCAGAUGUGCCCAGAUGGGAUUAGCUUGUUGGUGAGGUAACGGCUCACCAAGGCGACGAUCCCUAGCUGGUCUGAGAGGAUGACCAGCCACACUGGAACUGAGACACGGUCCAGACUCCUACGGGAGGCAGCAGUGGGGAAUAUUGCACAAUGGGCGCAAGCCUGAUGCAGCCAUGCCGCGUGUAUGAAGAAGG